GACGGGGGCUGCAAGCGUUAUCCGGAAUCACUGGGCGUAAAGCGUCUGUAGGUGGUGAUGCAAGUCACUGGUGCAAAACUCUGGCUCAACCGGAGGAAAGCCAGUGAAACUGCAUGACUAGAGUGUGGGAGAGGUAGAAGGAAUUCCCUGAGUAGCGGUGAAAUGCGUAGAGACAGGGAAGAACACCGGAGGCGAAAGCGUUCUACUGGAACACAACUGACACUGAGAGACGAAAGCUAGGGGAGCGCAUGGG
This 253-nucleotide ribosomal RNA is filed under the name uncultured bacterium. Its description in RNAcentral is "partial 16S ribosomal RNA". It matches the Rfam family "Bacterial small subunit ribosomal RNA", at positions 524 to 776 of the family's 1533-position model. The record is from RNAcentral.